UAACCUGCCUUGUAUGGGGAAUAACAGCUGGAAACAGCUGCUAAUACCGCAUAAUGCAGUUGGGUCGCAUGGCUCUGACUGCCAAAGAUUUAUCGCUCUGAGAUGGACUCGCGUCUGAUUAGCUAGUUGGUGGGGCAACGGCCCACCAAGGCGACGAUCAGUAGCCGGACUGAGAGGUUGCCGGCCACAUUGGGACUGAGACACGGCCCAGACUCCUACGGGAGGCAGCAG
This 231-nucleotide ribosomal RNA is filed under the name uncultured bacterium. RNAcentral describes it as "partial 16S ribosomal RNA". It matches the Rfam family "Bacterial small subunit ribosomal RNA", at positions 122 to 354 of the family's 1533-position model. The record is from RNAcentral.